GACGAACGCUGGCGGCGUGCCUAAUACAUGCAAGUAGAACGCUGAAGGAGGAGCUUGCUUCCCUGGAUGAGUUGCGAACGGGUGAGUAACGCGCAGGUAACCUGCCUGGUAGCGGGGGAUAACUAUUGGAAACGACAGCUCAUACCGCAUAAGAGUAGAUGUUGCAUGACAUUUGCUUAAAAGGUGCAAUUGUAUCAUUACCAGAUGGACCUGCGUUGUAUUAGUUAGUUGGUGGGGUAACGGCUCACCAAGGCGACGAUACAUAGCCGGCCUGAGAGGGGGAUCGGCCACACUGGGACUGGGACACGGCCCAGACUCCUACGGGAGGCAGCAGUAGGGAAUCUUCGGCAAUGGACGGAAGUCUGACCGGGCAACGCCGCGUGGGGGAAGAAGGGUUUCGGAUCGUAAAGCCCUGUUGUAAGAGAAAAACGAGUGUGAGAGUGGAAAGUUCACGCUGUGACGGUAUCUUACCAGAAAGGGACGGCUAACUACGUG
This 495-nucleotide ribosomal RNA is filed under the name uncultured bacterium. RNAcentral describes it as "partial 16S ribosomal RNA". It matches the Rfam family "Bacterial small subunit ribosomal RNA", at positions 28 to 507 of the family's 1533-position model. The record is from RNAcentral.